Molecule: ribosomal RNA, 301 nt
Filed under: uncultured bacterium
Lineage: Bacteria
Description: partial 16S ribosomal RNA
Rfam family: Bacterial small subunit ribosomal RNA
Source: RNAcentral
CAGCAGCCGCGGUAAUACGUAGGGUGCGAGCGUUAAUCGGAAUUACUGGGCGUAAAGGGCUCGCAGGCGGUUUCUUAAGUCUGAUGUGAAAGCCCCCGGCUCAACCGGGGAGGGUCAUUGGAAACUGGGAAACUUGAGUGCAGAAGAGGAGAGUGGAAUUCCACGUGUAGCGGUGAAAUGCGUAGAGAUGUGGAGGAACACCAGUGGCGAAGGCGACUCUCUGGUCUGUAACUGACGCUGAGGAGCGAAAGCGUGGGGAGCGAACAGGAUUAGAUACCCCAGUAGUCCCUGUCUCUUAUAC